This 422-nucleotide ribosomal RNA is filed under the name uncultured bacterium. Its description in RNAcentral is "bacterial SSU rRNA". It matches the Rfam family "Bacterial small subunit ribosomal RNA", at positions 355 to 774 of the family's 1533-position model. The record is from RNAcentral.
UGAGGAAUAUUGGUCAAUGGGGGCAACCCUGAACCAGCCAAGUUGCGUGAAGGAUGAAGGUCUUAUGGAUUGUAAACUUCUUUUACACGGGAAUAAAGUGGGGGACGUGUCCCCCUUUGCAUGUACCGUUUGAAUAAGGAUCGGCUAACUCCGUGCCAGCAGCCGCGGUAAUACGGAGGAUCCGAGCGUUAUCCGGAUUUAUUGGGUUUAAAGGGUGCGCAGGCGGGAUGUUAAGUCGGCGGUGAAAUUUUGCAGCUCAACUGUAAAAGUGCCUUCGAUACUGGCCUCCUUGAGUGUGGAUGAAGUAGGCGGAAUUUGUGGUGUAGCGGUGAAAUGCUUAGAUAUCACGAGGAACUCCGAUUGCGCAGGCAGCUUACUAAGCCACAACUGACGCUCAUGCACGAAGGCGUGGGGAUCAAACA